UAAGACUGAGACCUGGGGACAUCUGGGACCUCCACUGGAUUUGGAGUAAUUGGUCUCCUCAGCACUGCGGCAGGCUCCCUGAGGAACGGGGAAACUGCAGGGGAGAAAAGGGAAACGGGUGAAUUAUAGAUCACUAUCCUUCUUUGCAUCCUGUGAUCAGGAACUGGCAGAGACCCCGUGUUGGCGGAGAAUUAAGGAGGAGCACCACGGAAAAGCCUUCCUGAGGCAUUGCCGGCAAUGUGGUGCACGCCAGAGGACUCACGAGCAGCUGGCCACACCGAUGCAGAGGGAUGACAUGAAUCUGACUGAUGACAAAUCAGUGGUUCAGGAAGCAUGACUCAGAUUAAACCAAGAAUUGGAAUAUACCUCUAAGAAUGUUUAAUUCACCAAAAAUUGUCAGCAGUGUCCAACACAGAUGUAUCUACUCGAAUGUGUUUAGUAAAUUAAAACAAAACCAAACCCUGAGAUCUGGAGGCCUCUGUGAACCAGAAAUAUCAGCUGAUUGAGCAGCUUGUGAGCAAACCAUAAUCCUUAACGCGCCAGCGUGGCAACUCCUGACGAACCUGAACCCCACUGUCUCUUGGUCACUACAGACAAGGAUGUGCCUGACCAUCACAUCUGGUACCAGUUUGUCUUUAUUUACUCUAACUGAAGGCAGCAAGGACUUCAGCUGGAUGGAACCAUUCUUCUGAACAGUUUUUGUUUGUAUGCAUUCAUUAGCACUUUUCCAAAAUGUAUGUGAUAGUUUUGCCAAAAUUUAUUUAUGUUUUCUCACUGAAUUUCAAUGAACUUCACAUCUGUAUGUUAGAAACUUCCUGCUAUUUUUUUUAUUAUCUCCAAAAUUUGAUUACCUUUCAGUCCUUCUUGGUGUAGUCAUAUCCAAACCCCAUAAUAUGUAUCUUUGUUUCUGUAAAAAUAAUGGUUUUCUAGCUUUUAUUGUCUUUGGCACAGAAAUCCUUUCUAAUCCCACAAGCAGACUGAUUGAAUUUGCCAGCUGAACUACAGCUCAGCUGUUUGUAGCAUUCUUCCUUCUCUCAUUUUUCUUUGCAACAGGGGAACCUUUCUGGGGAAUUAUUUGACCUCUGCAUUUGUCAGAAUUCCAGACAUUAGCUACCAUUAGUGUUCAGUGGGACUGAAAACAGACGGGAAAUAGAGGUAACUGUAAAUGCUGUAAUAAAAUGUAUGAGUGUAAUGACAAAUCUGUAAGCAUCUUUAUGAACCUAAGAGAUGAAGCAGUUGUGCAGUCUUCUCAGGGUGGACUCAUGUUGGUGCAUGCUAGUCUUUGACUUUAAAAAUAAUAACAAAUGAAAAUAUAAAGCUGGCAGUAAUACCUCCAUACUUAAUACUCACUUUUAAAUCUCUAGAGUUCCCAGCUGCACAUGAUUUCCAUCUUAGAUUUUCGGAAUUCAGAAAAAAUUUCUUUAGUCAAAGCUUAAAGAACUAUAUCAGUAGCCUUCGCAUGGCAGACCAGAUCCUAAAGGGAAUAUGGAAAUCUUCUGGCCUGAAGAGAAAGUAAUUAAAUAGCAGGCAAAAGAAUCCUUGUCCUUUCUUCCAGUCAGUCUUCCAGUUUUCUGUAUUGAGGGGAUUUUUUUUCUUCCAAUCUUUCUCUUAUUAAUGAGCGACUCUCACAGAUACUGGAUUUUUGCGUUCUGUGUUCAGAGCAUGAUCUCUGCUGCAUUUUAAACCAAUGAUAUGUCUGAAAUACAAAUAUUGGUCCUAAAUGUAGAGUCUGUUCAGCUUUAUGUUUGCAGUUCAGUUGCAGCAACUUACUCAGGAUAUUUCUCCAGCUUCAAGCAGAGUGAGUUAAGACCAAGUGAACAGAUUUAGACCUACUGAAAAUCUACACUCACAAUUUAAUCAUAGGGUUAUUCAUUUGUACAUACUCAUACAUAUUCUUCAUGUAAAGCACAGCAUUCAAAUAUCCAAAUGAGACACUGCCAAAAAUAAAUGUCUUCAUUCUGGCCAGAAUUCAGUAAUUUAUUUAAUUUGUUGAGAAAUUCAGCCUUUUCUCUUUUUCCUUUUUGAAUACUGGUAAGUGCAGUGUGAUUUUUCUCAAGUUUGUCUGAAAAACAGUUUUUUUAUCUCUUUAGAAUUGUUGCAAACAGGACACUAUAAGUAUGCAGUAUUUCAGACUCAGGUUCUGUGGAUUAGGUAUGAGUAAUUAAAAAGGUCACA
Molecule: long non-coding RNA, 2175 nt
Organism: Dromaius novaehollandiae (emu)
Lineage: Eukaryota; Metazoa; Chordata; Aves; Casuariiformes; Dromaiidae
Exons: 5
Source: RefSeq, a predicted model, not a curated record